CUUAAUAUGAACUAGAAGUUUGAGUAUUUAUUUAUUUUUUGUUAUCAAACUUUUUCGAUUCUAAUAAUAAACGAGGCUAUUAGUGUUGCAAUGAUCCUAAUUUACCAAAAAAAGAAAAUAGAAAAUACAGUUGGAAGAAGACACGAGUUUGUUAAAGUUUUAAUACAAAUAUGACAAAAAAAAAAAAAAAAAUAGAAGACAAAAUAUAUUAUGAGUCAAUACCAUGGAAUAGGAACAGUUCAACGUGCGCAUGUACAUAAAAAUAAAACAUUGUUAAGCUAUAGAGUACAGAGAAAUUGAGCCUCUGUAUUGAGUAAAUGAUUUGCUUUAAUGGCUUGUUAGCUGACUCAGCAAAAAUUGUCCCGAUUAAUUGCAAUAUUGAUAAUUGAUAUUGAUAAAUUUAUUGACAUCUUAUUAUAUUUUAUGAAUAAUUUGUAAUAAAGUGAAGACCAAACUUUCACAAAAUUGAUAG
Molecule: long non-coding RNA, 472 nt
Organism: Episyrphus balteatus (marmalade hoverfly)
Lineage: Eukaryota; Metazoa; Arthropoda; Insecta; Diptera; Syrphidae
Exons: 3
Source: RefSeq, a predicted model, not a curated record